This 362-nucleotide long non-coding RNA is filed under the name Mustela putorius furo (domestic ferret). Its description in RNAcentral is "lncRNA (ENSMPUG00000026226.1)". Lineage: Eukaryota; Metazoa; Chordata; Mammalia; Carnivora; Mustelidae. The record is from RNAcentral.
GGUUUCAGGGGCUACGUGACCAGACCUCAGGCCUGGCCGUGGAGGGGAAGCUGGUGGGCAUCUGUGUGCCACGAGUGAGCCCCCUGCGGACCCCUAAGACCGGCGGGCAUUUCCUUGGAAGCUGGUUCCCAAGGUCCCUGUCCCCCUCUGGAUUAGCUUGUUCAUCCUAAAACUGCCCCAGCGCGUUGGAAGGAGGUGUGACGCGUACGGUUGCCGAUCUUGAGAAACGGACCUUCCACAACUGGCAGACGCCUUGGGUGCAGAUAUAUUUGAAUCGUUUUCUUCCAUUAACUGGACCCUACUGUUGGCGUUAUCCUGUGACCUGUGUUUUCCACGUACCCAGUGUUCUGUGUCAAGUACAC